This 2068-nucleotide long non-coding RNA is filed under the name Homo sapiens (human). Its description in RNAcentral is "non-protein coding lnc-SUCLG1-1:1". The record is from RNAcentral. Lineage: Eukaryota; Metazoa; Chordata; Mammalia; Primates; Hominidae.
UUACACUACAUUUCUCUUCAAGUGUACAUACAAGUACACUGGGGACAAAGCAGCUGUUUUUCCUUUAGAAGGCAGAUUUUCUUUUUCCAGAAAGAAGUUGUCAGAACUGGGCAUAGAGAAGGUUCUUUUUGUUCCAUUUCCAUGUGGCAGAGUCAGAUUGCCUGGGUGAAUUCAUACAAAGCUUUAGCACAUCCCGAUUCUAGAGGAGAUGAACGAACCACGUGGAUGCCCUCAAGAUGUGUACGACCAUGGAACGGGAGACUGGAGGGACCCAUGGAUCCAACCAUGGAUGGGGUUACCCCUGUAUGAGCCAGUUGAAUCUGAAUGCGAGGAUGGAAUGAGGACCGACCAGAGUCACAAUGCUUAAUGGACCAAUGCUUUCUGACUGAGCUCCUCUCUACCCUGAAUACAAGAGACCCUAAUAGUUAGGCAGGAAUAUCAUCGCCCCUAUUCAGCAUGAAGAAGUUACAGAAAAUGGACCUUCAUCCUUCUGCAACUCCUAGGAUUAAGGGUCCUCUUGUAAAAGGGAAAGGGGAGAUAUGUGCGAAACAUUCAAACCAGAGCGACUCCAUUUUGAAUAAGGGCUAAGAAAAAUGAAGCUGGAGCACUGAGCAGCAAUUAAGGGCUGCACAGCCUGCAAUUGCCUUGCUCAGUUAAAAGAGGCCACAUUUUAUGCUAGUAAUAAUGAUAGCUAGUAAUAAUGAUAGUAAUAAUGAUACCUUCUCCUUUACAAAAAAGAGAAGGGGAGCAUGUUGGGAAAAAGCUGAGUGUUGGGAAAAAAGCUGAGGCAGGGCUUGCAUGUCUGACAUAAUGUCCUCUGGAAUGUGUCUAGACUUGCUGGCUCCUUGCUUCUAGCCCUCCCAGGCUCCUAGAUCAAUUGUAUGCCCAUUAUCUCAAGUAGCAGAACAUGUUCCAUAUAAAUGCUAAACUGUCACAGCUGUAGAUCAUGUGCCUGCCCUUUUGACCCCCACAUUCUCAUCAGCUGUUUCUUUGUUGGAUUACCAAUAAAUAGCAUGGCUCCCAGAGCUCGGGGCCUUUGCAGCCUCCACAAUUGCGAUGGCCCCCUGGUCCCACUUUCUCUCUCAAACUGUCUUUUUCUCAAUCCUUUGACUCCACCGGACUUCGUCGCCCCCAUGACCUGGUGUUGGGUGUGAUCACCCCAACAAACAGGAGCUGGGUAAAAUGAGGCUGAAACCUACUGGGCUGCAUUCCCAGAUGGUUAAGGCAUUCUAAGUCACAGGAUGAGAUACGAGGUCAGCACAAAAUACAGGUCAUAAAGACUUUGCUCAUAAAACAAGUUGCAGUAAAGGAGCUGGCCCAAACAUACCAAAACCAGCUGACCAGAGGUCACUCUGGUUGUCCUCACUGCUAUACUCUCACCAGCACCAUGACAAUUUACAAAUGCCAUGGUGAUGUCAGGACAUUACCCCACAUGGUCUAAAAAGGGGAAUCAGGAAUAACCCAAGCUUUGAUGAGCAUAUCAUCAAGAAAUGACCAUAAAAAUGGGCAACCAGCAGCUCUCAGGGCUGCUCUGUCUGUGGAGUAGCCAUUCUUUUAUUCCUUUACUUUCUUAAUAAACUUGCUUUCACUUUGCACUGUGGACUCGCUCUGAAUUAUUUUGUGUGCAAGAUCCAAGAACCCUCUCUUGGGGUCUGGAUUGGGACCUUUGUCCUGUAACAUAUUUCUGGCAGCCCAUAGGGGACUAUAGUGCAGAAACCCUGACCCAAUGGCUACCUUUGGGUAAGUGUUGGUGUCCUGUAACAUAUUUCUGGCGAACCACAGAAGGGAUGAUACUGAAGAGACCCCCGACUCAUAGGAAAAUCAUCUGCAUGCACCGACUGGCUGACUUUGGGUAAGUGGAGUGCAUAUACUCAGGUAAAGAAUGGGAUUGGGUUAGAGGCCCAACUUAGGAGAGUUAAUGUCUCUCCUUAAGACAGAGUGGGUUAGAGGCCCCUCUUCAUAAAAGGCAAGGAUGCUUGACCAACGUUGGGUUAAAGGCCCAACUUAUGAGGGUUAGAGUCCUUUCUAAGAUUUAGGGGGUUAGAGGCCCCAUUUGGUAAAGUCCCUC